RNAcentral lists this ribosomal RNA (553 nucleotides) under uncultured Thalassolituus sp. RNAcentral describes it as "bacterial SSU rRNA". It matches the Rfam family "Bacterial small subunit ribosomal RNA", at positions 63 to 607 of the family's 1533-position model. The record is from RNAcentral. Lineage: Bacteria; Pseudomonadati; Pseudomonadota; Gammaproteobacteria; Oceanospirillales; Oceanospirillaceae.
CGAGCGGUAGCACAGAGAGCUUGCUCUUGGGUGACAAGCGGCGGACGGGUGAGUAACGCGUAGGAAUCUACCUAGUAGUGGGGGACAACAGUUGGAAACGACUGCUAAUACCGCAUACGCCCUAAGGGGGAAAGCGGGGGAUCUUCGGACCUCGUGCUAUUAGAUGAGCCUGCGUGAGAUUAGCUAGUUGGUGAGGUAAAGGCUCACCAAGGCGACGAUCUCUAGCUGGUCUGAGAGGAUGAUCAGCCACACUGGGACUGAGACACGGCCCAGACUUCUACGGGAGGCAGCAGUGGGGAAUAUUGGACAAUGGGCGCAAGCCUGAUCCAGCCAUGCCGCGUGCGUGAAGAAGGCCUUCGGGUUGUAAAGCACUUUCAGAAGGGAGGAAAGGUUGUGUGUUAAUAGCACAUAGCUGUGACGUUACCUUCAGAAGAAGCACCGGCUAACUCCGUGCCAGCAGCCGCGGUAAUACGGAGGGUGCAAGCGUUAAUCGGAAUUACUGGGCGUAAAGCGCGCGUAGGUUGUUUGUUAAGCGAGAUGUGAAAGCCCCGGG